UGUUGUCUUCAGGGUAGGGUGAAAGUCCCGACCGGCGGUAAAGUCCGCGACCCACGAGAGUGGUUGAAUUUCGAAAGAAUACCGAUAGUUAAAGUCUAGAUGGAAGAAGACAGAC
RNAcentral lists this non-coding RNA (115 nucleotides) under Lactobacillus amylolyticus. Its description in RNAcentral is "FMN sequence". It matches the Rfam family "FMN riboswitch aptamer (RFN element)". Rfam says of the family: The RFN element is a highly conserved domain that is found frequently in the 5'-untranslated regions of prokaryotic mRNAs that encode for flavin mononucleotide (FMN) biosynthesis and transport proteins. This element is a metabolite-dependent riboswitch that directly binds FMN in the absence of proteins. In Bacillus subtilis, the riboswitch most likely controls gene expression by causing premature transcription termination within the 5' untranslated region of the ribDEAHT operon and precluding access to the ribosome-binding site of ypaA mRNA. The record is from RNAcentral. Lineage: Bacteria; Bacillati; Bacillota; Bacilli; Lactobacillales; Lactobacillaceae.